RNAcentral lists this ribosomal RNA (415 nucleotides) under uncultured crenarchaeote. Its description in RNAcentral is "partial 16S ribosomal RNA". It matches the Rfam family "Archaeal small subunit ribosomal RNA", at positions 330 to 747 of the family's 1478-position model. Lineage: Archaea; Thermoproteati; Thermoproteota. The record is from RNAcentral.
GCGCAGCAGUCGCGAAAACUCCGCAAUACGCGAAAGCGUGACGGGGCUACCCCGAGUGCCGUCCGCUGAGGACGGCUUUUCUCCUCUGUAAGAAGGCGGGGGAAUAAGGAGAGGGCAAGUCUGGUGUCAGCCGCCGCGGUAAUACCAGCUCUCCGAGUGGUAGGGACGAUUAUUGGGCUUAAAGCGUCCGUAGCCGGCUCAGCAAGUCUCCGGUUAAAUCCAACGAUUCAAUCGUUGGACUGCGGGAGAUACUGUUGAGCUAGGAGGCGGGAGAGGCCGACGGUAUUCCCGGAGUAGGGGUGAAAUCCUAUAAUCCCGGGAGGACCACCAGUGGCGAAGGCGGUCGGCUAGAACGCGCUCGACGGUGAGGGACGAAAGCUGGGGGAGCGAACCGGAUUAGAUACCCCGGUAGUCC